This 465-nucleotide ribosomal RNA is filed under the name uncultured bacterium. Its description in RNAcentral is "partial 16S ribosomal RNA". It matches the Rfam family "Bacterial small subunit ribosomal RNA", at positions 28 to 507 of the family's 1533-position model. The record is from RNAcentral.
GACGAACGCUGGCGGCGUGCUUAACACAUGCAAGUCGAACGGAAAGGCCCCUUUGGGGGUACUCGAGUGGCGAACGGGUGAGUAACACGUGAGUAACCUGCCCUUGACUUCGGGAUAACUUCAGGAAACUGGGGCUAAUACCGGAUAGGAAUCCUUGCUGCAUGGUGGGGGUUGGAAAGCUUCGGCGGUGUUGGAUGGACUCGCGGCUUAUCAGCUUGUUGGUGGGGUAGUGGCUUACCAAGGCUUUGACGGGUAGCCGGCCUGAGAGGGCGACAGGCCACAUUGGGACUGAGAUACGGCCCAGACUCCUACGGGAGGCAGCAGUGGGGAAUAUUGCACAAUGGGCGGAAGCCUGAUGCAGCAACGCCGCGUGCGGGAUGACGGCCUUCGGGUUGUAAACCGCUUUCAGCAGGGGCGAAGCUUGUGGUGACGGUACCUGCAGAAGAAGCACCGGCUAACUACGUG